CAAUGCUUUACUGCUUGCACGGACACGCAAGGGCGUACACGUCUUUGUCAUGGAAUGCUUCCAGAAGUAUGGCAAGAUAUGGGGACUGAGCACACCCUAGAGGUGAACCCCCUGCGCUCCAUGAACACUCGGUGACUCUGAUGGGAGGGAUCCGCUGUAGUCUGAGUCUUUGUGGAUGUGUCCGCUGAGUCCACGUCAUCCUCUAGGUCACUGUUCUGUGAGUAAUCCUACAAAAAAUGGGCGCAGCAUCAGGGUUGGGGAAUAUAAAUGACACCUGAAUUGUAUCCGCAAAUCUUACAAAGAAAAUAAUAGUGAUUCCAAGUCAUUGUUGGUUAUAUUUGUGUAAUACUCAGCUUUGAUGGUGUUAAUGGGGUGACUCUGGACCGGAAUCCAGAGUCUGUGAAAUGUUGGUGGGAGGAGGGUCCUCAGAAGAUGCAAUUUCCUGGAAUAUAAUUUUUAGAAAAUUCGCCUCAGGACAUCCCCCCCUUGCACAAUGGUCAAAUGAUGAGAAACUAUUUCGAUACUUUGUGGUAUGGCACUGAUGGGCUAGGUACGACUCGGAGAGUGGUAAAUGUUCAGCACGUGGUUUAUUCCAACAGAGACACAAGGCAAACGAGCGUGUGUUCUGGAGGGUUCAUGAAGCACCUCUCGAACACAGGUAAACAAACCCUUAUAUUUGGAGUAGGCAGAACGACAAAUAAGCUACGCCUACACGUUCUAAUUUACCCAGGUAAACCUUUCCGUCUGUCUUGGCCUAAACGUAAAUGACAAAGUGGCCAUGUUUGUAGUCGUUAAAGGUUGGGUAUGGGAUUUGCGAAAUGCCAGCAGAUUUUGAAAACACACCACUCAAAUGGUCCUACCCCCUCUCCUUUAACGCUGACUCUGACUCCACCCAUUCCAAGUAUAUGGACGCGCAAUCAUGCACGAGCGAACACAGAUGCGCGAGAGCGAGUCAUUUGCUAGUUAGCUAGCUCCAGUAGCUACCGCAGGAUAACAACAAACAGAAGUUUGUCUGGGUCUCGAGGUUUGAGUACGUGCACGAAGGGGUCGCGCGCGGGGGAGGGGGAGUGCAGUACAACCGUUUGAUUGACGUACUUACUGUCCAAUGCAACUCGGUGGCUCUGGAAAUCAUUGGCUGGAGUUUUUCGAGCCUUGCCCGUUCCACAGAUGAUUGACUUGUUUAAUUUUCAUGUCAGUACUUCUAAUUCAGUGGCUGUAAGUGGGUUAUGAUAAGGAUUUCAAGUAAUUUUGCAAAAAUGGCCAAAAAGCGAAUUCCAUACCCAACCUUUAACUUAUAUACAAAAUCACUAAAACCUUAAAUGGUGUUGUCCAUUAUGUGGUGAAGAAACAAUUCAUAACUGUUGUUAGCUUGAAACAUGUCAUCAGAAAUAGCAUAGACUAAAAUAAUUUACAUAAUUCCCCCCUUUGAGGCUGAAGACUCACAUAACGUUAUGUAAGCAAAAUGAACAUCAAUUACUAUAGGACAGCAAAUGUUAAUGAUAGAAAUUCACGUACAAAAUGCAAAGCAUUUGACAAUAUUGAUUAUUUGAUUGGUGGCUGGCAUCCUUGUAGCUGGAUCACUUCCUCUAAAUUGACGUGGAGUUCUCU
Long non-coding RNA from Gadus chalcogrammus (walleye pollock), 1608 nucleotides. RefSeq lists it as uncharacterized. NCBI's taxonomy places the organism in Eukaryota, Metazoa, Chordata, Actinopteri, Gadiformes, Gadidae. The record is from RefSeq and is a predicted model, not a curated record. The transcript has 3 exons.